This 424-nucleotide ribosomal RNA is filed under the name bacterium. Its description in RNAcentral is "bacterial SSU rRNA". It matches the Rfam family "Bacterial small subunit ribosomal RNA", at positions 354 to 776 of the family's 1533-position model. RNAcentral also lists the same sequence under 1 other name. The record is from RNAcentral.
GUGAGGAAUAUUGGUCAAUGGGCGAGAGCCUGAACCAGCCAAGUCGCGUGAGGGAAGAAUGGUCUAUGGCCUGUAAACCUCUUUUGUCAGGGAAGAAUAAGGAUGACGAGUCAUUCGAUGCCAGUACUUGACGAAUAAGCAUCGGCUAACUCCGUGCCAGCAGCCGCGGUAAUACGGGGGAUGCGAGCGUUAUCCGGAUUUAUUGGGUUUAAAGGGCGCGUAGGCGGGACGUCAAGUCAGCGGUAAAAGACUGCAGCUAAACUGUAGCACGCCGUUGAAACUGGCGCCCUGGAGACGAGACGAGGGAGGCGGAACAAGUGAAGUAGCGGUGAAAUGCAUAGAUAUCACUUGGAACCCCGAUAGCGAAGGCAGCUUCCCAGGCUCGUUCUGACGCUGAUGCGCGAGAGCGUGGGUAGCGAACAGG